GAGCUCGAGCCCAGCCCGCGCCCGCGCCGCCAUGCCCCUGGCCUUCUGCGGCAGUGAGAACCACUCGGCCGCCUACCGGGUGGACCAGGGCGUCCUCAACAACGGCUGCUUUGUGGACGCGCUCAACGUGGUGCCGCACGUCUUCCUACUCUUCAUCACCUUCCCCAUCCUCUUCAUUGGAUGGGGAAGUCAGAGCUCCAAGGUGCACAUCCACCACAGCACAUGGCUUCAUUUCCCUGGGCACAACCUGCGGUGGAUCCUGACCUUCAUGCUGCUCUUCGUCCUGGUGUGUGAGAUUGCGGAGGGCAUCCUGUCUGAUGGGGUGACCGAAUCCCGCCACCUCCACCUGUACAUGCCAGCCGGGAUGGCGUUCAUGGCUGCUGUCACCUCCGUGGUCUACUAUCACAACAUCGAGACUUCCAACUUCCCCAAGCUGCUAAUUGCCCUGCUGGUGUAUUGGACCCUGGCCUUCAUCACCAAGACCAUCAAGUUUGUCAAGUUCUUGGACCACGCCAUUGGCUUCUCGCAGCUACGCUUCUGCCUCACAGGGCUGCUGGUGAUCCUCUAUGGGAUGCUGCUCCUCGUGGAGGUCAAUGUCAUCAGGGUGAGGAGAUACAUCUUCUUCAAGACACCGAGGGAGGUGAAGCCGCCCGAGGACCUGCAAGACCUGGGGGUGCGCUUCCUGCAGCCCUUCGUGAAUCUGCUGUCCAAAGGCACCUACUGGUGGAUGAACGCCUUCAUCAAGACUGCCCACAAGAAGCCCAUCGACUUGCGAGCCAUCGGGAAGCUGCCCAUCGCCAUGAGGGCCCUCACCAACUACCAACGGCUCUGCGAGGCCUUUGACGCCCAGGUGCGGAAGGAUGUUCAGGGCACUCAAGGUGCCCGGGCCAUCUGGCAGGCACUCAGCCAUGCCUUCGGGAGGCGCCUGGUCCUCAGCAGCACUUUCCGCAUCUUGGCCGACCUGCUAGGCUUCGCUGGGCCACUGUGCAUCUUCGGGAUUGUGGACCACCUUGGGAAGGAGAACGACGUCUUCCAGCCCAAGACACAAUUUCUCGGGGUUUACUUUGUCUCAUCCCAAGAGUUCCUUGCCAAUGCCUACGUCUUAGCCGUGCUUCUGUUCCUUGCCCUCCUACUGCAAAGGACAUUUCUGCAAGCAUCCUACUAUGUGGCCAUUGAAACUGGAAUUAACUUGAGAGGAGCAAUACAGACCAAGAUUUACAAUAAAAUUAUGCACCUGUCCACCUCCAACCUGUCCAUGGGAGAAAUGACUGCUGGGCAGAUCUGUAAUCUGGUUGCCAUCGACACCAAUCAGCUCAUGUGGUUUUUCUUCUUGUGCCCAAACCUCUGGGCUAUGCCAGUACAGAUCAUUGUGGGUGUGAUUCUCCUCUACUACAUCCUCGGAGUCAGUGCCUUAAUUGGAGCAGCUGUCAUCAUUCUACUGGCUCCUGUCCAGUACUUCGUGGCCACCAAGCUGUCUCAGGCUCAGCGGAGCACACUGGAGUAUUCCAAUGAGCGGCUGAAGCAGACCAACGAGAUGCUCCGCGGCAUCAAGCUGCUGAAGCUGUACGCCUGGGAGAACAUCUUCCGCACGCGGGUGGAGACGACCCGCAGGAAGGAGAUGACCAGCCUCAGGGCCUUUGCCAUCUAUACCUCCAUCUCAAUUUUCAUGAACACGGCCAUCCCCAUUGCAGCUGUCCUCAUAACCUUCGUGGGCCAUGUCAGCUUCUUCAAAGAGGCCGACUUCUCGCCCUCCGUGGCCUUUGCCUCCCUCUCCCUCUUCCAUAUCUUGGUCACACCGCUGUUCCUGCUGUCCAGUGUGGUCCGAUCUACCGUCAAAGCUCUAGUGAGGUGAGGGGAGGGUCCGGGCGAGGGCACUGGGCAGGCAGGUCCUGUGUCAGCCUCAGGGCUUGCUCGAGUGACAGCCAAACCACAGCCGUUUGGUCCCGGAACACACCCCCAUUGCUGGGCCUCGCUGUAGCUGGUCCUGGUUGGUCAGAGGGACAUUGGCCUGUAUGGUUUCCCAGCUCGCCAUCCCUGAGCAAAGACUUGCUUACAUACCUCCCAGGAGAGGGGACUCACUGUCACUUUCACGACAACU
RNAcentral lists this small RNA (2098 nucleotides) under Pongo abelii (Sumatran orangutan). Its description in RNAcentral is "retained intron". The record is from RNAcentral. Lineage: Eukaryota; Metazoa; Chordata; Mammalia; Primates; Hominidae.